RNAcentral lists this unclassified non-coding RNA (311 nucleotides) under Hevea brasiliensis (rubber tree). Lineage: Eukaryota; Viridiplantae; Streptophyta; Magnoliopsida; Malpighiales; Euphorbiaceae. The record is from RNAcentral.
GCGUAUGAGCUUGGAAAUGACACAACAUUGGAACUUUCUUCUUUCUUGAGUAUGGUGAUUGUUUCCCAUUGAUGUUGUUUCAGUUGUGCUCGGUUUUAUGCCUUAAAUCAUAAAGUAUUGAAGCGUGUUGCAUGCGACAGAAUAAUAGGACUUAAAAAGUUCAGGUUUAAUAAUGGAGUUUCUUAUCUCUGUAUUUCUUUUUCCAUUUCCAAAUCUAAUGCGUGGAGAUUAUUUUCUUUCCUUAUCAUUGAUGAGAUGUGGGCCCUAUUUUCUGCUGAGCUUAAAGAAUUGAUUAGAGGUGUGCAAAUGGU